Molecule: ribosomal RNA, 629 nt
Filed under: uncultured bacterium
Lineage: Bacteria
Description: bacterial SSU rRNA
Rfam family: Bacterial small subunit ribosomal RNA
Source: RNAcentral
UGCAGUCGAGCGAGAUCUUCGGAUCUAGCGGCGGACGGGUUAGUAACGCGUGGGAACGUACCCAAAGGUAGGGAAUAGCCACUGGAAACGGUGAGUAAUACCCUAUGUGCCCUUCGGGGGAAAGAUUUAUCGCCUUUGGAUCGGCCCGCGUUAGAUUAGAUAGUUGGUGGGGUAACGGCCUACCAAGUCUACGAUCUAUAGCUGGUUUUAGAGGAUGAUCAGCAACACUGGGACUGAGACACGGCCCAGACUCCUACGGGAGGCAGCAGUGGGGAAUCUUAGACAAUGGGCGAAAGCCUGAUCUAGCCAUGCCGCGUGUGUGAUGAAGGCCCUAGGGUCGUAAAGCACUUUCGCCAGAGAUGAUAAUGACAGUAUCUGGUAAAGAAACCCCGGCUAACUCCGUGCCAGCAGCCGCGGUAAUACGGAGGGGGUUAGCGUUGUUCGGAAUUACUGGGCGUAAAGCGUACGUAGGCGGAUUAGUAAGUUAGGGGUGAAAUCCCGAGGCUCAACCUCGGAACUGCCUCUAAAACUGCUAGUCUUGAGUUCGAGAGAGGUGAGUGGAAUUCCGAGUGUAGAGGUGAAAUUCGUAGAUAUUCGGAGGAACACCAGUGGCGAAGGCGGCUCACUGG